RNAcentral lists this ribosomal RNA (703 nucleotides) under uncultured bacterium. RNAcentral describes it as "bacterial SSU rRNA". It matches the Rfam family "Bacterial small subunit ribosomal RNA", at positions 80 to 805 of the family's 1533-position model. The record is from RNAcentral.
ACUCCGGAAGACCUAGUGGCGAACGGGUGAGUAACACGUGAGGAACCUGCCCCGAAGACCGGGAUAACCCUCCGAAAGGAGAGCUAAUACCGGAUACCCCCAUUUGGUCGCAUGAUCGGAUGAGGAAAUGGAUUCCGCUUCGGGAGGGCCUCGCGGCCUAUCAGCUUGUUGGUGGGGUAACGGCCCACCAAGGCAUCGACGGGUAGCUGGUCUGAGAGGACGAUCAGCCACACUGGGACUGAGACACGGCCCAGACUCCUACGGGAGGCAGCAGUGGGGAAUCUUGCGCAAUGGGCGAAAGCCUGACGCAGCAACGCCGCGUGGGGGAUGAAGGCUCUCGGGUUGUAAACCCCUUUCAGCAGGGACGAACUAAGACGGUACCUGCAGAAGAAGCCCCGGCUAACUACGUGCCAGCAGCCGCGGUAACACGUAGGGGGCAAGCGUUGUCCGGAUUUAUUGGGCGUAAAGAGCUCGUACGCGGCUCGGUAAGUCGGGUGUUAAAUCCCCAGGCUCAACCUGGGACACCACUCGAUACUGCUGUGGCUAGAGUCCGGUAGGGGAGCGUGGAAUUCCUGGUGUAGCGGUGAAAUGCGCAGAUAUCAGAGGAACACCAGCGGCGAAUGCGCGCUCUGGGCCGGAACUGACGCUGAGAGCGAAAGCGUGGUAGCAAACAGAUUAGAUACCCUGGUAGUCCACGCCGUAA